UUCUUGAUUUCUUAUUAAUUUACCUGUGUGAUUAUCAGUGAGCAAUUCAAAUAAGGAAAUGGUGCGGUCCUAGAGUUGAAGGUGCUGGCAAAGAUACACUGCAGGACUUAAUGCAGAGACUGCCUGUUUUGUCUGUGUCCAAGUUAGCCCCCCAGGUCUUCCAGAGAAUAAACAGAUAACUGAAAUUGCUUCCUUUGAUGACCCAUUUGUCUGCCCAAGGGCAAAAAUCCCCAGACAACCUUCUGGCUGGCUGCCAGCUGAUCAGCAUUUUACCCAAAGCAUGAAAUCAAAAGUAGCUCAGUUUUUUGUUUGUUUGUUUAUUUUUGUCUCCUCUCAUUCUUUCUCAUAUUUAAGUCAUUUAUUUUGUUGUUAGAGGAACAAUAAAUAAAACAAUUUAUUAUUGUUUUCCCUCAUGCAUAAUUAAAUAGUAUGCUAAUAACUUUACUGUAUGUCCUUUGAGUUAUUCUUUGACUCUCAUUCUGAGGCUCCACUGUGAUAACACCCACCAUAGAAAUGUGUAGAUUAAAGUGCACCUGGAUCUUGUCUGGACCAGGACCCCUUGGGUCCUUGGCUCAUCUUCUCUUGGCUCCUGUGAUAAGGCUAGUGUGGAGUGUGGAGACUGGCCUCUCUGGCUCUCACAUGCUAAACUGAUGCCUGGUCUCACCCGUUUCUGCUUCUGGUUCUUGGCUCUGGUUGAACAGAGUGAGUUGAAUUUACCCUGGUGGCAACAAUGGUGGCAUCUGAGUUUCAAUUCUACGACCUAACUUAAGUGAUUUCUGUCAGUGGCAGUUGAUAAGAAUCAGUAGUCUAAUGUCCAUGACCCUUCUUUGCUUGUAUGCCUGAGGAUUGUUAUUGUUCCUGGCACUUGAGUGCAAAGUUGAAGAGCUUUUGGUGUUUUUCUUCCUACUAAUAAUGUUCUCUCUGUUUAUGUGUUCUGAUUUGUGUCAAUUUGGCUUCCUCUGACCCUCAUGCUCAGAGCCUUUUUCCUUCUUUCAAAAUUCUCAUCAUUUUUCAUGUACAUUUAUUAUGAUCCUAAUCAGGCCAAUAUCUGCUAAGUUAAAAUUCUUGCACCAAAAAUUAAAAGGAAGCUAAAGCCCUUA
Molecule: long non-coding RNA, 1100 nt
Filed under: Bos grunniens (domestic yak)
Lineage: Eukaryota; Metazoa; Chordata; Mammalia; Artiodactyla; Bovidae
Description: lncRNA (ENSBGRG00000002815.1)
Source: RNAcentral